CCUCAAGUGCAGUCUUGCCCAAUCUCACAAGCGCUACUGCCGUAGGCAGCACAGCGCAGUCAGUUGGAAGGCCAAGAUGCUGGCGGUUGUGGUGGUCACUUGCCUCGCCGUGCUGGCGUCGGGGAGACAGGCCGAUGGCCUGACCCUCGGGGAACCAGGUCGCGCAUCGGACAAGGUUGGGGCCGCGCUGCAGGAUGAAGAUCUCUAUUCCAUUCCACAAGGAUUUCUUCUGGGUGCCGGAGUGUCGGCGUGCCAAGCUGAAGGGGCGUGGGACGCGGACGGUAAGGCUGAGAGCGUCUUAGAUCGUAUGGCCCACGUCAAGAACAAUCCGGUUUUCCACAGUAGCCCUGAUGUAUCGUCUAAUCAUUAUCACCGCUACAAGGAAGACUUGGCGAUGGCAAAGGACAUGAAGUUCACAUCACACCGUUUCUCCAUCUCCUGGUCUCGCGUGCUUCCCAAGGGAGAUACCAGCCACGUCAACCAGGAAGGUGUCCGUUUCUACCAUGACUACAUUGACGAGAUCAAGCGCUUAGGCAUGGAGCCAAUGGUGACGAUGCUGCACUUCGAUCAGCCGUACACACUGGAAGUGGAGACGGGAGGUUGGACCAAGCCAGCGAUGGUGGAUAAAUACGUCGAGUACGCCGGUUUUCUCUUUGCCGAGUUUGGCAGCAAGGUGAAAUACUGGACCACAGUCAACGAGCCCAACAUGUACUGCAACUACUUCCCCACCGUCAUGAACUUGUCGGGGCUGGCACCGAAGGAUGAUAUGAAUAUUUACAAGUGUAUGCACAAUAUGGUCAUUGCGCACAUGAAAACGUACCGCUUGUAUAAGGAGAAGUACUACAAGGACCAGCAAGGCUUCGUGGGCACCUCCGCGCUGCUGUGGCCGUCCAUUCCCGCGACCACCAGCGCCGAGGACGUCGUGGCCGCCGACACCUUCAACACAGUCUUCGCCGGGACCGUGCUCCACCCGCUGGUGUACGGCGACUAUCCUCCGCUCACGCGCUACAUCGUCGACAGCCGGUCCAAGGCGUUGGGGCUCGCCGAGUCUCGUCUCCCGGAAUUCACCCCAGAGGAAAAGGAGCAGCUGGUUGGAACCACGGACUUCAUCGCACUCAACGUUUACAGCAGCUUCGUUGCAGCGUAUGACCUGGACGGUUCAGGCGGCGAAGUAACGCCCGCCCUUCUUGGGCCCAUCAUGGACGACAUGGCGUUCCUCAAGCUGUCCGGUGGAAUGGCGAGCUUCAACACGACUGAUGCCUCCAUGAUGCGUACGACACUUCUGUGGGCUUGGAAUGCUUACCACGUGCCCAUCGUCAUCGCGGAGAACGGCUUUGGCGACAUGACCGGUGUGGGCCUUCGAGACAGCGCCCGUCGAAUCUUCGAUCACUCCUUCAGACUAUGAAGCAGUUUGACGUGAAAGUGAUUGCUUAUUAUGUAUGGGCACUUCUCGACGUCUUUGAGUUCUCUGCGGGAUACGAUGAGCGCCCUUUUGGACUGAUUCAAGUUGAUUACAAGGAUGCCUCAUUAAAGAGGACGCUGAAAGACUCAUCUCAAUUUUUCGUCGAAAUUGGCAACACCGGCAGAGUCCCGUACAUUGCGCCACCCCUAAACUCAGCAUCU
RNAcentral lists this unclassified non-coding RNA (1623 nucleotides) under Thrips palmi. RNAcentral's name for it is "myrosinase 1-like, transcript variant X2". Lineage: Eukaryota; Metazoa; Arthropoda; Insecta; Thysanoptera; Thripidae. The record is from RNAcentral.